Dama dama (fallow deer) is the source of this 120-nucleotide small nucleolar RNA. RefSeq annotates it as small nucleolar RNA SNORD22. NCBI's taxonomy places the organism in Eukaryota, Metazoa, Chordata, Mammalia, Artiodactyla, Cervidae. The record is from RefSeq and is a predicted model, not a curated record. The transcript has a single exon.
UCCUACUAAAGGUUGAGGAGUCUUAAGAACAAAUCGGCCCAGAGCCUGUAAAGGUGAACCCACUGGGGCUGGCUGGGGGAGAAGAGGAAAGCUCGUUCCAGAGGGAACUGUCUGAGGGAU